Molecule: long non-coding RNA, 647 nt
Organism: Engraulis encrasicolus (European anchovy)
Lineage: Eukaryota; Metazoa; Chordata; Actinopteri; Clupeiformes; Engraulidae
Exons: 3
Source: RefSeq, a predicted model, not a curated record
CACCGGCGUCUCCGUGGCAGGCGGCAGAUUUGGUAGUUUGAGAAAUUGCACCAGGCAGUUCAGUUGUGGGUUGGGAGUCUGACGGAGCCCACGAGACCGAUUCACGGGGCUUUGGCAGCCGGCCGUGAAUGUCUUUAUUUCGGGUCACCUCGCUUGUGUAAGCAUUUGGCUUCUCCUGUGAACCUUGAUGUUACUAACCUGGAAAUCUGGUUGCGCGUCGCUACUCGUCUUCUGCUGCAGAUGCCGGAGAUAUGCCAUGUCCUACCUCCCUCGGUGCCUGAUCUCCAACCGUGUGGCUAUCCGCGUCGGGUUGCUGCUUUGUUUUACCGUAAUUGCAGCGUGAAUGACAGUGCGUGUGGUUGUGCGCGUGUGUGUAUGUCAUUUUGUUUCUUUUCAUUUGUAGGAUGAGAGCGAGAAAGUGAGAGCUCUCGAUACUCUGUAUUUUAUUUUCAACCCACUGUGUUUCUGUUAUGUUUAUUUUGUUUUCGGAUGUACACCACUCUUGCUGUAGCAACAAAGUGUUUGGGCCUUCCCAGCUCCUGUAGCCUAGUCCAGAGUUUGCGGUGAUGUGUAGCCGAGUAGGGCUACUCUGUGUGGUGCCAGUGUGAUUUCACCGUUGCGGUGCAUUUGUAUAGCACUUUAAAGUG